AUUGAACGCUGGCGGCAGGCCUAACACAUGCAAGUCGAGCGGUGCGGCGGACGGGUGAGUAAUGCCUAGGAAUCUGCAUGGUAGUGGGGGAUAACGUCCGGAAACGGGCGCUAAUACCGCAUACUAUCAGAUGAGCCUAGGUCGGAUUAGCUAGUUGGUGGGGUAAAGGCCUACAAAGGCGACGAUCCGUAACUGGUCCGAGAGGAUGAUCAGUCACACUGGAACUGAGACACGGUCCAGACUCCUACGGGAGGCAGCAGUGGGGAAUAUUUGACAAUGGGCGAAAGCCUGAUCCAGCCAUGCCGCGUGUGUGAAGAAGGUCUUCGGGUUGUAAAGUACUUUCAGCGGGGAGGCGUUACCCGCAGAAGAAGCACCGGCUAACUCCGUGCCAGCAGCCGCGGUAAUUC
RNAcentral lists this ribosomal RNA (407 nucleotides) under uncultured bacterium. RNAcentral describes it as "partial 16S ribosomal RNA". It matches the Rfam family "Bacterial small subunit ribosomal RNA", at positions 30 to 526 of the family's 1533-position model. The record is from RNAcentral.